Molecule: RNA transcript, 15087 nt
Organism: Panthera uncia (snow leopard)
Lineage: Eukaryota; Metazoa; Chordata; Mammalia; Carnivora; Felidae
Gene: CD2H10orf143
Gene name: chromosome D2 C10orf143 homolog
Exons: 4
Source: RefSeq, a predicted model, not a curated record
GUCGAUUCAGUGACUGGAGAAGUGACAGGCUGGCCCUCUGUGCGAAAUGACAACCCUGGGCGGAAGUCCCCUUUUGCCCAGAAGACUCUGGUCUCCGCUACUCCUGUCUGCUGCCCUCGCGAAGCAAGGCCCAGCCGUCUUCGCGGCGCCCCGCCCCCCGUCUCUCAUUGGCGCCCUCGGGGCACGUGGGGGGGGGGGCAAAGAGGCGUGGAUGCAGUGGCUGGGGCGGGCGGCCGGAGUCCGUAGGUCAUGAGAGGCCCGUGGACUCGGGGUUGGGGCCGCAGGGAUACCAUGGUGCCGGUCCCGUGGCGACGGCGGAGGCCGGAGGAACUGCAGGUUCCGGGGGACGCGAAGCGGGUGUGCAGGAGACUCGAGGCGGCUGGGCAGGAGCGAGGCUGCCCCCCGGUGAAGGUGAGCGCCCCCAUGUCCUGGAGCGGCGAGGGGCUCCCUGACAGCGGCCAGCGGUGGCCACGCACGGGGAUUCCUCACAAUGGUGGAAGGAACUCGGCCCAGCCUUGCCCGAGAUGUAUUGCGGGGGAAUCUGUAAGUGCAUUAACCUUCUCGCUGUGACAUAAAAGACAGACUUGUUCUUAAAUAUUAGAUCCAUAAAACAAAGUUAAUAAAAACGGCAAUUACAUUUCUAAGGAAUGAGGGAUGUAAAUAAAAAGGUGCAGAUUGAUUUAAGCUUUUCUUGGCAUUCUGCUGGGGUGCAAACUGAUUUGUUUCUAGCUUCAGCUUGGAAACAGAAAUGAAAAUACACUUAAAAUUUUUUCUUAACACAGAGUUCAGGGAAGGGAACAGGCCACUGGAUACAUUUAAUAGAGAUCAUUUGAGGACGUCUUGGAGGAAAGCCCCUGACCUCAUUUAAUUAUCCGAAUAGGGAUGGACAUUGUUUUCUCUUUUCCCUGCUUAAGCUUUCUUUCGUGUUCCCGUAAACUUUACAGAAACCACAGAUUUCAGAGGGAGAAACGCAGUAUUCCCACCAUUAAAUCAAAGUUAAAGGAGGCCUAACAUAGCCAGAGUCACAUUCCCCAUCUCCUGUAUCGGGCAGGAUAUCGUAAGGUUGGACACUAGCAUCAUAUCUUUGUUAUUAAUUUUGGACUUACUCUAAGAACAAGUUAAUGUGUCUUUUGAUAACCUCUGUAAUUCUUGGGGUUUUUUUAUUUUUAAAUUUAGAAUUGUAAUAUCACAAUAAAAUGGAAUUACGUUUAAUUGACACAUAGAAACCAGGAGAGAGAGAAGAGAGAGAGAGAGAGAGAGAGAGUGUGUGUGUGUGUGUGUGUGUGUGUGUAUGUGAGUAUUUCUUAGAUUUCCCCCUACAGAUUUUUAGAGAAAUGUAUUGCUCUGUUUCUGAUAAGCAAAAGAUUGAGUCAAUAAAUUAUAAGAUUUUCAGUGGAUAUAUUGCAGGCUACUGUAUUUUCCAGUGAGAAGCAAUGGUUUUGUUUUUAGUGCAGACCUAAGUGUUGGCUAUCACCCGUGUGAACCUCUGGUCCCUGAAGUCAUUGGAGAAAUAGAAACCAAGCUCAGUGUUUGACUUGCUUUGUAAAGGAGAAUUCCUGCGCGUUGUGCUUCAUUCCCUGGUGUAGUCCUUGAACAAGGGCGGAGUCAGACAUCCAGCGGUCGGAACUUACUGUACUUUAGGUUGGUUCGUACAACAGCUGCACCUGCGCUGGAUACAAAUACGUGAUGUUUACCUGGAGAGACACGGCCCCAUUGUGAGUAAAUUGUGUAAGUGCUGGUGACUAGAUGGUGACCUUCCUUGUCCUCGUCCCAUUUCCAUGGAAUGUAUCUCUCAAAUCCCCCCGUCUGUUGGGCAAAUACUUGGAACGUAGUAUGGAUUCUUACUGCUCUAAGAGGUUGUGUUCUGGCAUGAAUGGCUUAAAGAAAAAAAAUUUGGCUCAAACAGCUGAUUGGAUCAUUUUAGCUAAUAUUCUGUUUGAACAACAGUAUCUAUUUGAUUAGGAUUUUUCCUUCCUUUGUAACUCCCCAGGCUUGCCUCUGUUAUGUUUCAUAGGAAAUGAAUCUGUGAGCAGAGAACCUAUAUUGAUAUGUAAAUACAUCAUUUUUUCGUUAGUGCUCGAUAUUCUUUUCAUCUAAAUUUCAGAAGCCGACUUUAAAAAAUCAGUUUCCCUUUAUCUGUAGUCAUUCUCAAUAAAACUUUACCCAGGCUUGGGUGAUUUAAUAUUUACACCCACUGUUUCUAAAAGUCUUAUGUAAAUAAAGAUUGAAAUGUGAAUUUGAAAAGUCACACCUCUUGAUAUUUGAACAGACUAUAGCUGCGUAUAUCUUCUUUUUCUAAUAAUACGGCUAGUUUCUCUCCUAAGCUUUUAAAAUAAUAAGACGCUAUUUUUGUAUUCUGGAACAUCAAAAGGUUCAGUGUUAAAUAAAAAGCAAAUAGUAUUUUUAGAAAUGUGAGAUCCCAGGGAGCAGUGCUUACCAGGAAAUCACCAACAGACAGCAAGUCCGACUUUCAGAAGACUUCAUUAGACACACGACUCCAUCCACAGACGUGUGCCCGUGCACACAAGUGUGCCCCUUCUGUACCACUGUUCCCGUAGUGGAGCCAGGGUGGUGACCUUGGGUCACAGAGAAGCACAGGGUGCACCGGGGAGUCUGUGGGGCCCUGAAGGGAAACGCCCCUUCUUUGGUGCUCCCCGCCUCCCCCCACAACCUCCUUUGUGCCUCGUUUUCUGGUGUGGUUCUGGCUUGGCGGGACCUCACCUGAUCGGCCGGUCCUGCCCUGAGUCCUCAGGCAGCUGUCGCAGCUCGGAGCCCGAGUUUCUGCUGUCAUUCUACUCCUGAGCUCUUGGUUUUUAGCACGAAUCAUUUCUCAUGAAUGCAGGGUCUUGGGUUCUCGCGUAUGCGGGGACUUUUCGGUUGCCCUUCUCCAUCCGCCUUGUCGCCCAGGCUGGCGCGUGGUCUCCUCCCUGUGCGGUCUGUUCUGGCUCCCCUUGCAGCGAUCGCCAUUUGGGCCUUGCCGCGGGGUCUCUGCUGUCGUGCGUGCUGUUCCUUGGAGGCACCUUCUCUUAGCCCUGCUUCGUCCUGCUCGGGUGACCGACGGCUGCAGUGAAAGCGGCCCCUGUCCUUGUGGUGGGACGUGGCGUUCCGUCCUUUGGGGAGUCCACCCUUCCCCAGGCCGGGGUGCCACCUCUCUGCAGCCCCGUCCGGGGCUGUGAACCUGGAGGCAGUGCCAGUGGCCACCAUCGCUGAUGACCUCUCCUUCGUGGGCGGUUCCAGGACUGGGCCACAGCCUGGCCACGACGCCUCCUUUCUCGGGUCAGCUUAGCCCGCUGGGUGCAGGGCCCACGGUGGCCGAGUGGACCGUGGAAACCGUGCCAUCCUUUGCAAAUUCUAAUCCGUUCGAUGAAACCCAAUAGGGCCGUGGAAGGUCUGUAGGGCAGUCAAAUGAAGGUACGUGGUGUGGGGGUGGGGGCACCGUAAGGCAGGAAAUUGUAGGAAAAGCAGAUCUCCCUUGUUCGUUGAGGUGCCGUGUCCUGGCACCAGUUUUCCAAGUGGCAUCCGGUCCCCGUCGCCCUAGCUCCCCAGUGCAUGAGCCCUGCAGGGGCAGGGCCACCUUCAGAUUGUAUUGGGUCUUCAUGAUGGUCGCCUGCCCGGUUUUUCUCAGCUCUGUGCCCCACCUUUGCUCUGCUCUGUGUUGUGGAGACUGUGCUUCUAGACUCCUUGGCUUCUGGUUUCUGACCCUGGACCCUGGAGUCUGGAGGGAGGGUGGGGUGGAAGCCAGGGCACCUCUCUCCCCCCACCUCACCCCCAAGGCAGCCUCUCAGCCCCUCCCUCCAAGAUGCCAGCUCCUGUAGAGUUAGCCCGCUUGCCCCCAGCUCCUGCCAGGUGGCACGGGCUUCCGGGCUCUGUGGUCAUUUUGCUUCCGCUUGUGUUCCGUGCCGGGGCCUGUGGCUGUCUGCGUGGGGGCAUGGGCUUGCCUUGACCUCCCCUGCGGGGCUUCUCUGCUCUUCCGUGAGCGGUUGAAGCCAUAUUAAAUUCCCUGCGUGAAAUACCUGCAUUCGUUUCUGAACUGUAUCCUACCUAAUUGCCUGAAGAGUAGACCAGUCCUCUUGGACAAAAAAAAAAAAGAUUGCAGUUUUAAACACGGGCCUCUGGGUCUCUGUUGCCCACCCUCAGGCCUCAGGGUGUGGUUCAGCAAGCGUGGCAUUUUGCAGCACGGGCAGAGCCUGCCCCAGCCCGGAGCUGCCUGGGCGAUGUGGUGAGCCCGGGCAUUAGAUCGAAAGAGUCAGGCCCUUUAAUAUUGCUCAUCACUGGUGGUGUUUGUUCUGUUAUCUGGGGUGAGCUGGGUUUUAGUACCUAAACUGGUGCUGAAUUGCCACAUAAAAGCCGAUGUACAAACCACGAUGUUUUGGUUUUAUGGAUCCCCCCCCACACACACACCCCCCAACAAGUUGAUUUUAGAUAACAGCCUGUUCAUUAGUGAUGAGGGCAGGUACUAAGGGGAGUAGACCUAAUAAGCCUCUGUGCUGUUCCCAGGCUGACACUGAAGUCCCUUGCCUGACAGUGUAGGGGAAGGGCGGGAGAAGGAGAGGCGGGCGGGGCGUGGGGUGUGUGGUCCAGCCUGUUGUCCAGCCUCCCGGCUGCAGCAGCCCAAGUAUGGUUACUCUGAUUCUGAAUGGAUAUUCUUGUUUUCUUUGUACUUUUUAUCUCCAAAUGCGUGACCUUUAAAAUAUUUGUUUUGUGUUAUUUACUCACCUGUCUGAUUGGUAAGUGCUUCCUACAUCUGUGGCAUCUCUAAAUACUGGGCUGAGACAGAAACCAACCCAGGGCCCAGGGUGCAGAGAGCCUGCCUUUCUCCUGGCCUGCGUCGCAGCAGGAGGAUGGCUGUGGCCAGGCUUAGUGGUCCAGGCGUCUAGCGGGGACGAGGCCGGGAUGAAAACGUGGUGUUCUGACGCAGACGAAGGAUGAUCGAUGAGCAGCUGUUUGCUCUUUGUGCCUCGUUUCAGCACUAGCUGCUUCUGGUCGGUCCUUCAUUCUUAUGUCCUGAGAGAGGAAAACACAAUCAGGUGGGUUCAAGGGAAAUUUCAUCGAUUAUUCCGUGAGAAUCAAAUCAUGCUUGUGCAUUUCCCCAGCUUGGCCAAGGAUGCCAGAGUUUGUUGAACCUCGUGCAUUCAUGCUUGAGGAGAACGGGGUCCAACAUGGUGGGCGGGCAGGCGGGCUCCAGCGGUCACCGCAGCCCGCCCCUCCGCCCGCUCCUCUCGGCUGGUCUUUGUGUGUGUUUACAGCCCGCGUGCCAGCCUCACCAGCCCCCCAACCCCGCACAUGGCCACAGACAUCAGCUCUCACCUGCUGAGAGGUGCUGCAGUGAGUGAGUGAGUGAGUGAGAGAGAGGUGUCCUUGUGGACAUCACUCCCAGAUGCCAGGAGAGCGUCUGGGCUCAGACACAGCGCUGAAUUAUUCAAACUGGAUGAACACGCUGGCUGAGAAGAGAGUUUGGCUGUGUCAGUACAGCCAAGUGUGAAUCCCAGAACAGAUGAGUUUGGAUAGACUUCUUACCAAAUCUUCAGAUUUAGCUUCUGACAGUAAAUGUUUUCUCUAGAAUACAGCAACCAGGAAAAUUGUUUUUUUGUUUUUUUAAUUUUUUUUAACGUUUAUUUAUUUUUGAGACAGAGAGAGACAGAGCAUGAACAGGGAGGGGCAGAGAGAGAGGGAGACACAGAAUGUGAAAUGGGCUCCAGGCUCUGAGCUGUCAGCACAGAGCCCGACGCGGGGCUCGAACCCACGGACCGUGAGAUCGUGACCUGAGCCGAAGUCGGACGCCCAACCGACUGAGCCACCCAGGCGCCCCUGUUUUGUUUUUUUUAACUAUGUUAUUGAGAUCAGAGCCUUCAGAUAACUAGAAAAACCAAACAAACAUUUCUUUCUUGCAAAUAAAAUAAGUUAAACUGUGAGGAGAUGGUGAAUGGAUUGAAAACACUUUAAGAAAGAUGUAAUUUAGACUUGCUAGGGGCAUGUUAGGUGCGCUGAUGCAAAUGUAUCCACCUUCUGGUACAGAUAAAAGCAUGAAAUGCGUAGUUAACGUGUAAUAAGUGAAGAGAGAGAAAACAAAAGGAGAACAAUAGAUACACAUCCCUGGUGGCAGUUACUAAGUCCCCACCUUUGUUGAGUUUGGUCCUAGAGUAGGCCGGGGGGACUGGGGGGUGGGGAGGCUGGGGGACUAGAAUUCUGAUGUCCAGAGGCAGAUAGAUGUGACUUUGGCCAGUGGAGGUGUGGGAGCUAGAACCUGGACCCUUGCCUAAAGUUCCGAGCCUGGAAGAUCUACUUGUCCCUUAAGGGGACUAGAAAUUAAAACACCAGGCCAUAAACGGGUGUCUGGGCCCCAGGCUGGUUCUCUUUCUCAGUGGUACAAGAACCAAAAGCAAAGCAUGAACAUAGAAAUAGAUACAGACUCUCGAAGUCCAUUAAGGCCCUGGAUAGUGGCAAAUGCAGAAUCGUCCUGCAGGCACACCUCCACCAUCCAGAGCACACAGGCUGCAGAGGUCAGACAGUCUGCACUGAGGAUGCCAGAACAAUUGUCAGAACAAUACAAAUGACACCCAUAGAUCUAUAGCUGGGGUGAGGGGGGUGUUGGGGACACAUCAGGAAUUAUAACGAGAAUACAAACCCCCAAGACUCUGAAAUAGAAAAGAACUUGAAAUUUGCCAUAAGACUGAUUGUUUUAAAUUUAAAAAUGAUUAAAGAGGAAAUAGAGCCAUAAUCAAAGGUGAGUAUAGUGUAAAACGAGAAUUGGAAGGUUGAAAAAACUAACCUAAAAGUGAGUGACAUGGCCACUGAAGUUAGAUGUAGUUAAAGACAGAAUUCGUGAACUAGCUUUGUCUGGAGAAGUCAUCCAAAGCACCUCAGGAGAUUAUAAAGAGACAGAAAGUAUAGAAGGUGUGAUGCAGAGUCUGAGGAAAGAAUGGAAACCCAAUCAUGAAAUCCAGAAGGAAGGAGUUUAGAGAAGAGGAGGAAAAAAUAAUGAAAUGACCCGACUUGAAAAGAUUCAUGGCUUUUGGAAAGAUAGUAGCUGAGAAUUUUCCAGAAUUAAAGGAAAGACAUGUGUCGCCAGACAGUCUUGAAGCAAAAGAACAAGGUGACGAAGGUCACCUGUCAGAUGUCAAGAUCCAUUACAGAGUGAUAAGGGUUAAGACAGUGCUGGCCCAGGGAUAGAGAAAUAGACCAGUGAGAUAAAAGGGAGAGCGUUAAACUUGCAUAUACGGCAACUGACAACAGUGUAGAGACUCAACGGCAAGUCAGGCGGGAAGGACAAGGUCUCUCAACUGUGCUAACUUACGUGGCCAUCUACAUGAGGAAAGGUAAGAGCAGAUCUCUGCCUCACAGAAAUCAAUCCUGGGAGGUGGGGGGAAGGUUAAAGACCCUAAAUGUCCACACAGAAUUGUACAAUCUAACAAACUCACAGGGGAAGGACUGGUAUAUUUGGCUAUGAACAUAAGCUACGUCGCAUGCCAAAAUCCCUCCACACUGUUGAAGAAGAUCCCAUAAAGCAGGGAAGACAUUUGUGACAUGCCAAACAGAGACUCGCAGAUAAAUGGACAAAGUGUAUGAAUUGGCAAUUGAGAGAAGAGGAAACCCAAUUAGCCAGUAAACAUAAACAGAUGUUAAGCCUUGCUAGUAAUUAAGGGUAUCAAAUUUAAGCACCAAAUUGGCAAAUAAUAACAACGAUAAUAGCAAACCUCAGAAGUAUGGAGAAGGGAAUGGGAUGUCCAUUCCGCUAGUCCUCCUCCCCUGACUUCGGUCCUACCUCCUUACCCUUUCCCCUGGCUUAGAUGGGAAGGUUUCCCAAACUUGAUCCCUGUCGAGAUGAUCGGUAGGAGACUGAUCAGGAAAGUUGUUCCGAGUCACUCAUUAGAAGCCGACGACAGAAGUGAGGGCGGGGUGUGGGGUGAAAGGCUCUGCCCACCUCAUUCGAGGCCGUGCACGUUGACACAGUGAAAGGGAGAGCAGAUCCCUGCUAGGGAGGGUGGUGGGCAUUCCCUGUGACCCAGAAGAUUCUUUCCUGGGAGGAAUGCACACAAGGUAAUUGUAGUUGCAUUGUUUGCCGAGCAAACAGCCAGAAACCUGACUGUCCUGUGGGACAGUGGGUAGGUGAGUUUGGGUAUAUGAAUUUGACAAAGUAUCACAGUAAAAAUGGAUGAACUUAAGGAAACUACAGAAGAAUGUGUAUAGAAUGAUGCCAUUUAGAUACAAUUUUAAACUUGUAAAACAUGGAUAUUAACUGAAAGAAGACAUUCCUGAGAAUGAGAAACUUCAGGUUCAGGAUGACGAGUUCGUUUCUCCUUAGGGAGUGAGGGCUCAGGAUGUACAGGGUGUUCAAGUUGUAUCUGUCAUGCCCUGUCUCCCAAGCCAUGUGGUGUUUCGUGAGGGUGGGUCUGUUUGUGUCUAUACCUUUCUUGUGUUCCUGAAAUCAUGGUGGGUAGGCCUUGCGCAUGACCUGUCAGCACAUCUCUCAUGGAGCUGCUUAGGAGGCAGGGAGGGGUCAUGCUUUGGCCACAGACCUCUCGGUGGUGAAAACAGACACCAGGAGACUUUAGAAUAGUGUCUUUGACACGCUCAGAGGACAGGUCCUUUGUGGACAUGUGGGCUGGCUGUACUAAGCACGAGGCUAGGAUGGCCAGCGCAGCGGGGAUGGCAGAAGAGACAAUGUAAACAGACCAGUAACAGUGAAACAAAUUGGGAAAGUUAGCAAAAAGCUACCAUCGCAGAUGGCUUCUUAGGUUAAAAAAGUCCUACUUGAAGUAACAGAAGCAUGAGUUAACAUUAGAAAACCUACUGCAUUGAUCAGAGGAGAGAAACCAACGAUCAUCCAAAUCUAAAUAAAUGCAGGCUCCAGAUCCCACUGAUGGGAAGAACUCAGCAAACCAGAACUAGAAGUGUCUAUCCUGGGAAGGUUUAGGGUUCGUCACACUGGGUGGAAGCAUUUCCGUUGAUGAAGAGGGAAACACAAGUUUGCUGCUGUCGCUCGCUCCCUGACUACCCAGGGAGGGGUAAUGCUUCCAUUUUGGACACCGUGAGAUGGGAGAAAAGAAGCAGUGGUGUAACAAUUGGAAAGGAAAAGAUAAGUUUUUAUUUCAGAUGAUACAAUUACCCACAUAGGAGAUCCAAGAGAAGUCACAGAUAAAGUGCUAAAACUGAUACUCAUCGCACUUGUUGGAUAGAAGAUGAACACUCAAACAGGAUAGAUGAAUGGAUAGAGAAGCUGUAGACACACUCCAUGGAAUGUUACCCAGCCAUAAAAAAGAAUGAACUUCUGCCAUUUGCAACAACGUGGAUAAACCUCAGGGGUGUUACGCUGAGUGGGGUAAGUCAGAAAGAGACAUACCGUGCAGUCCCACUACCGCGUCGGAUCUUUUAUUUAAAAACAAAAGCGGCUAAUACAUACUGAGAACAGGCUGGUGGAUGCCCAGGGUAGGGAGCUGGAGAAAUGGGUGAAAGGGAUCAAAAGGUGAAAUGGAAACAAAAAUUUUAAAAGACAGCAACAGCAGCAGCAGCGGGUAAGUGGAUUCUUUAAAGUCCUCAGACUCCUCACAAGGCAGCCUGCUUGAGAUCAGAGCAUCCCCUCGAGGUGUCAGAUGCCCCUUCCCUAGAGCCCAUGCCCGUGAGCUUGAGAGAAAACAAUUUUAUGAUGAUAGCCGGAUUUUGGAGAGUCUGUCCUUAGUGCCUGCUUUUGAAGUCCACGAAAGCUGUGUGUACAGUUUUGUUUUUAGCUUUAAACUCAAGGCUUUUCCUAUAAUGUACCUUCCUCCACAUUCCCUAUUUUUUUUAAUGUUUAUUAUUUUUGAGAGCAAGAGAAACAGAGUGUGAGCAGAGGAGGGGCAGAGAGAGAGGGGGACACAGAAUCAAAAGCAGCUCCAGGCUCCAAGCUCCAAGCUGUCAGCACAGAGCCCAACAGGGGCUUGAACUCAGAAACAGUGAGAGAUCAUGACCUGAGCUGAAGUCGGACACCUAGCCACCCAAGCCACCCAGGCGCCCCCCUCCAUAUUCCCUAUUUGUAAAAUACGGUCUGUCUCGAGCUCAGCAAUGUUCCUCUGUGUUCCCCUCAGCCCCGUUCCCCAUGGACGUGAGUACCGUGAGUCUCCUUGCUCUGGCAGGUGGAGCAGCCUCUGCCUGUUCAGUCUCCAUCUUCUUUUCCCCAGCAGGAGCCCCUGACUCGGCCUCGGAAGGGGGAGGAGGUUGUGGAACGCCACCCCGACUUCAGUUCUGCCCACGUGUCCUUUCCCCCUGGUCUAAGUGCACUGCUUCCCAAACUUGAUCCUGUCACAGACAGUCGGUGGGGAGGAUUAUAAACCGUUUGCUCAUUACUGUUCUGAGUUGAUCAUUAGAAGCUGUUGCUGAGUACUGCUGAGUACUACUGAGUACUGCUGAGUGCUGAGCUCUGUUCCUAUUGCCCACUCCCACCCCCUGCAAGGGUCUUCAUUGGGUAGGCCAGGGCGCGUUCCAACGCCUGAGAGCUCUGGAAAAGCUGGAGCAGAGGCAGAACGUGAUUUCAGGAAUCGGGGCUUCUUUGCCUUCAUGUGGGCCCCACUGUCCUCAACGACUCAGACUCAUACUGGCACUUUAACUUCGUAAGGAGGUGGAAAGUUCAAAUACAGCAUUCCUGAAUUUCUUAGCAGUUCGUGCUGGGACCUGGUGGGAUGAGGGAGAGCUCACUCCUGGGCGUGCGCCUCCCUGCUGCUCAGUGCAGGCUCUGUCCUGCACGACACAGGGCCCGGGGCACACUGGAAGGGCACGUCCAGGUUCCACCCUCAUCCCCUCCCACCUCACCAUACCCCUCUCCAGCAAACAAGGGUGCUGUAGUGUGGUAGUGCUGUGGUCUGUCCUCAGCAGAAUGUACCUGCAGAAAAGGCAGUCCCAGGCCCAGGAAAUAGGCUCUGGAAGCGGAGCAGGGGUGGGAACAUCCCGUUGGCCCCGUGGAUUCCUUACCCCAUGGAGAGGUAUAGCCAGGAUGGGCUGGGGAGGUUCCUCUGGAACAUGAGGCCCAAGGUGGUGGGUACACUGUUAAGGAAGCUUGGAUGGAGGGAGAGAGAGAGAGAAACUCUUAGCAGUAAUAAUUAGGAAACAAAUCACACUCGUAUUAUUUCUUCUGGAUGUGAGAAGCAUCAAGCCCUUGGAUGACUAGAAGGACAGAACAAGAACUUCUUAAAGAGUAAAAUCUGUUCCACUCUGAGGAGACGGUGAAGUGCAUUAAAAGGCAAGUUAGCACUUUAAGAAACGAUUUAGGCUUCCUAAAGUCUGGAUUUGACUUACUGUCCAAUAUCCUUUAAAUUCAACCUGAAGGAUGCCCUUCAGUAUUUCUUGUAGGGUAGGUCUAGCUGCAACAGAUUUUCUCUGUUUAUCCAGAGAUGUUUACAUAGCCCAUUCAUUUCUGCAGGAUAGUUUGGCUGGAUAUAGAAUUCUUGAUUGACGGUCUUUUAGCACUUUGAAUACACACUGUCACUGCCUUCUGACUUCUGUAUUUCUGAUGAGAAGUCAGCUGUUAACUUUCUGGAGGGUCCCUCUCCCUCUCUGCCUUCAGGAGGAUUUGAGUUUUGACAGUGUUAUUCUGCUGUGUCCAAGUCUGGACGUCUUUGGGUCUGAGGCCCUCCCAAUAUUAGAAACGAAUAAAAGCUCUCUUCUAAAACAUCUCUCUCUUGGUGGAAAUACAUUGGAGUUGUAUUUUAUCAAAAGUGGUAUAUUCCCCCUGUUUCUUAUAAGAUUACUUUUUAAGCCCAGUCAGGCCAUAAGGUGUGGUCAGUCAGCAUGAGACUCACAGGUAAGGCACAACACCCUCUUCCUGCCUGUCACGUUGGAGACUUAGCACCCAGAUCUCCCCUGUCAGCCACAGGGUGUUGCAGAGUCAGAGGACUAGGACCUUGCUUCUAGAUUGGUGAUAGGACAGGCUCCUUUUUGGGUGUACCUGUGGCUCUAUGCUCCAAGAGGGACAUUGACCAAGUGGAACGAAUUGAGGAGAGGGAAUGGAACGAAGCAGGAACUCCGAGCAUUGGUGAAAGGCUUAAAGGAGCAGUUUCUGUGUUUAAGAUUCUGGACUCAGUUGGGCGCCUGGGUGGCUCAGUCGGGUUGGGCAUCCGACUUCAGCUCAGGUCAUGAUCUCGCAGUCCGUGAGUUCGAGCCCCGCGUCAGGCUCUGGGCUGAUGGCUCAGAGCCUGGAGCCUGCUUCCGAUUCUGUGUCUCCGUCUCUCUCUGCCCCUCCCCCGUUCAUGCUCUGUCUCUCUCUGUCUCAAAAAUAAAUAAACGUUAAAAAAAAAUUUAAGAUUCUGGACUCGGCCUUCAUAUUGAUGUGGCUCCGUCUGUCUCAUUGUCCCGAGUCUUGUCCAUUCUGCCUCCAACACAUCUUCAGAUAACCCCAUCCAGUGGAAAGGGGGCGGCUGGGGGCUGGAGGGAGACCUCUCAGCAAAAUAUUUUUUUAAAAAAAUUUUGGUAUUUGGUGGUGCUAUUGGCAGCAGUAAUGAUGAUAUGAUGAUAUGAUGAUGAUGAUGAUGAUGAUGAUGAUGGUGAAUUAAAGAGCCUGAUCUAGUCCCCUCCCCCCGGGAUGUCCCUCCCUCAAGAGAGGCCCCAUCUUCCCUGGAGUCUUGCCUCCUGGCCCUGUCCACUGCACUCCCUCUCCCAGAGCAUCUCAGAGUGAGUUUCCCAAGCUCUGUGUGACCCCAUCUCUGCCACUUCCUGUGCCUGGGGCAGUGCUUCCUCGCCCAGGCUCCUGCUGCUGAGCGGCUCAGGACAAGAGCUUCCUGGCCAGAGAAGUUGGGGAAGCGCUAUGUCCUUUCCCCACCUUUUGGAGAGUUGAUGGGUAGUAGGUGAUUAAAGAGCCCAAGAACCACAGUAAAGACUCUUGUUUAAAUGUCCUUUUAUAAAGGGAUGCUUGUUACACAUGCAGUGCAGAGGCUAUUUUGGGAAACAGAGGCCUGUUGAAUAAAUUCAACACCUAUAAAUUUCACAAUCUGGGCACAGCAUGGCAUUCCAGAUAGAUCCCCUGUCCCUGCCUGUGUGUGCUGUGAACCCUAGCUUCAGUCAUCGCAGAUGACUUCCCUGGUUCUGGGACAUUCUUUUUUAUUUUUUUUAUUUUUAAUUUUUUUUUUAAUGUUUAGUUUUGAGAGAGAGAGAGAGAGAGAGAGAGAGAGCGAGCGAGCACGAGCGGGGGAGGGGCAGAGAAAGAGGGAGACACAGAAUCCGAAGCAGGCUCCAGGCUCUGAGCUGUCAGCACAGAGCCUGACGAGGGCUUGAACUCAUGGACUGCAAGAUCAUGAUCUGAGCUGAAGUCAGAUGCUUAACCAACUGUGCCACCCAGGCACUCCUGGUUCUGGAACAUUCUGAUCUGUUCUCACUGCCAGUGAGCCCUUUCACCUUGUAAGAUUGUGUUCUGCCUUCUUGGUCCACUAAAAUACCUGUCCUGUGUAAAGCCUUUGCUGACUGCUCCUUGGGUAGAAUCUGAGAUCUCCAGAGCAUCUUAUUCCAAUCUGCCGGGAUGAUCCAUCCUUGUGAAACAUGCUGACAAGCCUGGGUGCCACUUCCCCUGCCGUGUGCCAGUCCCAGGUCUUUCGUGUUGGGUCCCUGUGGCUCAGGGCAGUACAUACCUUCGAGGAAAUGGACACCAUCGUGGACCAGACCACUUUGUCCCCUCCACUGCCUGGCCCAGCCCACCCUUCCUGGCCUCCACAAACCCAAGGAGCCACUGGCAUCGUGAUGUGGUCUUGGAGAGCAGGGCUCCCCUGCCAGCUGCUGUCAUUGGGCCACGGAUCCACACUGCUCUCUGCUGGGAUGGUGACCAACUGGGACGAAGGUUUCUAGACUCUGGACAAGACCUCUCACUUCACACAGUGUCGGGCCACCUGUCUGCCCCUAGCCAUCUGGUCCUUCCCAGUUAUUUCUGUGGGCAAAGGCGAGGAGGCCUCAGGUGGGAUGGGCAGAAGCCCUGGACUGUUACCAACUGGGGUUACUUCCCCCGACAGGAACCACUACAGCUUCUCUGUGUUGGGUUCCUAUUCAGUAUUUAGUCAACAUCGUUUGAAAAAAUUCUAUUUCACGGGAUGCCUGGUUGGCUCAGUCAGUUGAGCGUCCAACUCUUGACUUCGGCUCAGGUCAUGAUCUCACAGUAUAGGAGCUCGAGCCCCGCGCCGGGCUCUGUGCUGCUGACAGUGUGGAGCCUGCUGUGAAUCCUCGGUCUCCCUCUCUCUCUGCCCCUCCCCUGCUCGCACUCUAUUGCUCUCUCUCAAAUAAAUAAACAUAAAAAAAUAAUUCUAUUUUAUGAAUAUAUAAGUUAUAUUUUCAGUCUCUUUGUUUUCCUUCAUAGCAUGUAGGAAAGAAGAAAAAUGUUUAUUUGAGAACAUUCUAUGUAACAGGCACCGUAGGAAGUGCCCUAAAUAUGUUUUAUUAUAUGUUCUGGAUACUCUGUAAAUGUAGAUUCACCUCAGAAAUAAAACAUUCGUACAAGUGUGCGCCCUGUCGUUCUAAACGCAGUGCUUUGUGUCAGUGGACAGACAGCCACAGCAAAUUACUUCCCACGGUGUACUUUUGUGUCAUCGUAGGGACAUCUUAGCCACACGGAGAACUAUUAGAAGGUGCAAGCGGGAAGGCUCCGGUCUGGGUUCCAGCCAUCCACGUGCCAGCGAGUGUCGUGUCCUGGAUGGACGUGGGCGCCCACCUGUUCACGCUGCAGCCCGUUGUCCUCUCGCUCGGGUGACCCCCGUGCCCACCACGCCAGAGCCAGGAGGACCCCGUCCCCUCAGAGGAGCCUUCCGACCGUUGUUACCUGCCACAGCCUCCUUUCAGAUGUAUCGUUUGCAUCAUGUCAAAGUUAAAAAAAGAUUCAGUGUCAGAUUCCCUAUGAGGUUUGAGGGCCCAGUGGCUCAUGGAGCUUCGUCCGGGCUCUUCCGUCAGGCUUUCCAGUUGUUUUUUGGGUGUGUCCAGGGCUGCUUGUGCUCUUUUUUAACUAAAAGACUUAUUUUUAUAUUUAAAAUACUCUAUAAUCUUAACCUGGAUUUUACUAAAUGCUGGUAUCCAAUCUGUUCCAUGUAAUUCCCCAACCGAAGUUGUCAGGCACAGGGCUUCCUUUAUAUUAAAGUGAAAUUUCUUAUU